This is a non-coding RNA of Triticum aestivum (bread wheat), 135 nucleotides long. The record is from Rfam. NCBI's taxonomy places the organism in Eukaryota, Viridiplantae, Streptophyta, Magnoliopsida, Poales, Poaceae.
CAUGUACUCCCUCCGUCCGAAAAUACUUGUCAUCAAAAUGAAUAGAAAAGGAUGUAUCUAGAAUUAAAAUACAUCUAGAUACAUCCCAUUUUAUUCAUUUUGAUGACAAGUAUUUUUGGACAGAGGGAGUAUAUG